AAAUUGAAGAGUUUGAUCAUGGCUCAGAUUGAACGCUGGCGGCAGGCCUAACACAUGCAAGUCGAACGGUAACAGGAAGCAGCUUGCUGCUUUGCUGACGAGUGGCGGACGGGUGAGUAAUGUCUGGGAAACUGCCUGAUGGAGGGGGAUAACUACUGGAAACGGUGGCUAAUACCGCAUAACGUCGCAAGACCAAAGAGGGGGACCUUCGGGCCUCUUGCCAUCAGAUGUGCCCAGAUGGGAUUAGCUUGUUGGUGAGGUAACGGCUCACCAAGGCGACGAUCCCUAGCUGGUCUGAGAGGAUGACCAGCCACACUGGAACUGAGACACGGUCCAGACUCCUACGGGAGGCAGCAGUGGGGAAUAUUGCACAAUGGGCGCAAGCCUGAUGCAGCCAUGCCGCGUGUAUGAAGAAGGCCUUCGGGUUGUAAAGUACUUUCAGCGGGGAGGAAGGUGUUGUGGUUAAUAACCGCAGCAAUUGACGUUACCCGCAGAAGAAGCACCGGCUAACUCCGUGCCAGCAGCCGCGGUAAUACGGAGGGUGCAAGCGUUAAUCGGAAUUACUGGGCGUAAAGCGCACGCAGGCGGUCUGUCAAGUCGGAUGUGAAAUCCCCGGGCUCAACCUGGGAACUGCAUUCGAAACUGGCAGGCUUGAGUCUUGUAGAGGGGGGUAGAAUUCCAGGUGUAGCGGUGAAAUGCGUAGAGAUCUGGAGGAAUACCGGUGGCGAAGGCGGCCCCCUGGACAAAGACUGACGCUCAGGUGCGAAAGCGUGGGGAGCAAACAGGAUUAGAUACCCUGGUAGUCCACGCCGUAAACGAUGUCUACUUGGAGGUUGUGCCCUUGAGGCGUGGCUUCCGGAGCUAACGCGUUAAGUAGACCGCCUGGGGAGUACGGCCGCAAGGUUAAAACUCAAAUGAAUUGACGGGGGCCCGCACAAGCGGUGGAGCAUGUGGUUUAAUUCGAUGCAACGCGAAGAACCUUACCUGGUCUUGACAUCCACAGAACUUUCCAGAGAUGGACUGGUGCCUUCGGGAACUGUGAGACAGGUGCUGCAUGGCUGUCGUCAGCUCGUGUUGUGAAAUGUUGGGUUAAGUCCCGCAACGAGCGCAACCCUUAUCCUUUGUUGCCAGCGGUUAGGCCGGGAACUCAAAGGAGACUGCCAGUGAUAAACUGGAGGAAGGUGGGGAUGACGUCAAGUCAUCAUGGCCCUUACGACCAGGGCUACACACGUGCUACAAUGGCGCAUACAAAGAGAAGCGACCUCGCGAGAGCAAGCGGACCUCAUAAAGUGCGUCGUAGUCCGGAUUGGAGUCUGCAACUCGACUCCAUGAAGUCGGAAUCGCUAGUAAUCGUGGAUCAGAAUGCCACGGUGAAUACGUUCCCGGGCCUUGUACACACCGCCCGUCACACCAUGGGAGUGGGUUGCAAAAGAAGUAGGUAGCUUAACCUUCGGGAGGGCGCUUACCACUUUGUGAUUCAUGACUGGGGUGAAGUCGUAACAAGGUAACCGUAGGGGAACCUGCGGUUGGAUCACCUCCUUACCUUAAAGAAGC
This 1554-nucleotide ribosomal RNA is filed under the name Salmonella enterica. RNAcentral describes it as "bacterial SSU rRNA". It matches the Rfam family "Bacterial small subunit ribosomal RNA". Lineage: Bacteria; Pseudomonadati; Pseudomonadota; Gammaproteobacteria; Enterobacterales; Enterobacteriaceae. The record is from RNAcentral. RNAcentral also lists the same sequence under 1 other name.